This 1850-nucleotide long non-coding RNA is filed under the name Triticum aestivum (bread wheat). RNAcentral's name for it is "long non-coding RNA (TAES_LNC009625)". The record is from RNAcentral. Lineage: Eukaryota; Viridiplantae; Streptophyta; Magnoliopsida; Poales; Poaceae.
GGUUUUGAAGCUUUGGGUGCCUGCGGCCGGCUCGACGGUUGACAUCAGCAAGCGCUGGCCGGCCUCGGCACUGCUGCGGGUGGUUAUAUGGUGCGUGGCGCGCACCAGUGGGUUUCAACGUCAGGGUACAGUAGCGAGCUAAAUCCUGAGUCCAGCUAGGCUUUUUUUGGUUCAGGUUUUGUUACUGUUUUCCAUUCGGGAUUUUGUGGUGACCAAACCUAGCAUUUGCAGUUGUUUGUUUCAAAAAUUCAUGUCCCGGCAUAAAAUUUUGAUACGUAAGGUAAAUCCUGCCAACAAAUCGAUGUUAUGGGCUUACUAGUUAGAUGGAUACUUUCUAUUUUAUUCAGGGAUACGUUCAGCAUGCUUGUGAGGUACACAUUUUUCAGGUCCAGUUAGAAGUGUUUGCUUGAUUUGUCGCCCAAGUUUCAUAUUCUAAUGAUGCUCCUUCACUUCAAUACAGCGUUGGCAUGUAGGAUGAAUAUCUAUGCAAAUUUCAUGCACAAAUUAAAAACAAAAGCUUGGCUAUUCUUCUGCAUGUCUUCAAGGCAUAAUUUCUGAUCUAUCAUGAGAUAAUAAUUAUUUCUUCUUCUUUCUUAUCAUGUGGCUAGUUGCUAUGAAAAUUUAACACAUACAUCAUCUUUUUGUCAUUGAAACAAAAUCAUAUCUGCCAAGUUUCUUCAUUCCGUCGAAGCUUGCAGAUUUACCAUCUAAGUUGGCACAUUAUUGAAACAAAUCGUAACCAUGGAUUCUAUAUGGAAGAUCGGCAUAUCAUUUUUAUAUUAGAUUCAUGUAUACUGUAAGGAAUUAAUUUUGUUCAUCUUCAACCCAUUUUCCUAUCUUGCAAAGCUGUCCAUUCAAGUAUGAUCAAUUUCUACUCUGUGAUUUAAUACAUUUGUAACACUGGCAUAGUGCCAUUGACAUGCAUUGCUUUUUUGUCCCCUUUAAUAUUGAUUCAUCUGCUUGGUUAUAUGCAUGCCUUUGCAUACAUUCCUUAUCCAGUCUGCUAUUGAUCAUUUCCAUUUUUCAUCCCGGCAGUACGCUGAUAGCUUAUCCAGUCUGCUAUUGAUCAUUUCCAUUUUUCACCCCGGCAGUAUGCCGAUAGCUAUAAUCGAGUCAAUAGUUCCAAAAUGUUGCUUCACAAUUAUUUGUCUAUUUGGGCAGCACAUGGAUGGCUUCAGUGGGUGGCAUGGCCUUUCCAUUCUGAAUUGAAGUUGGUCUGAAAAUGUCGAACUCUGCCAUGGGACACAAAAGAUAUAACUUACCUUCAUAUCGUUGAUUCUUCUUAGUCUUCCUUUUGUGAAGUUGUGUAGCAAUCUUCCUUUUCCUAUCUGUAAUUAGAUUUUCUUAGGAAUACUCUCCAUUUUCUUAGGAACACGACGUCGUUGCGAUGCCUCCAAAUGCACCAGCAACAGAGCAGGAAGAAUGUCGAUAGCGAGGUGAGCACAUCUGGCAGAUUGUGAACAGAGGCCACGGAAGGUGGCUGGAACCCCAACGUGGCCCCGAAAUCAACCAACACUGAGCAGGCGGAAAGGAGGUGACUCGCCAACUGCAGCGGGGCAUGGCGGAGUAGGCAACUAUUCCACGCUCUAAAAUUGAGGUUUAUAGCAAUGAAAAAGGUGAUUUUGUUUCUUAAUCAUGCUUAACAUUUAUUUAACAUGCCAAUGAAGGCCUGGUAAAGAAGAAUAGAAAAAAUACAGUAUAUUGGUUUAAUUGUUCUCUUGUGUAGACCAAAAUUAGCGAGUAAAGGAAAUAUGAUUUUGCUUCGAAAUUCUUUCUGCGAGCGCUGUAUCUUAUUUCUGUAACAUUCUGACCUAUAUAUGAGAUUUAUUACGACGGUAAUGAUUCACUAA